Molecule: ribosomal RNA, 468 nt
Filed under: uncultured bacterium
Lineage: Bacteria
Description: partial 16S ribosomal RNA
Rfam family: Bacterial small subunit ribosomal RNA
Source: RNAcentral
GACGAACGCUGGCGGCGUGCUUAACACAUGCAAGUCGAACGGAAAGGCCCUGCUUUUGUGGGGUGCUCGAGUGGCGAACGGGUGAGUAACACGUGAGUAACCUGCCCUUGACUUUGGGAUAACUUCAGGAAACUGGGGCUAAUACCGGAUAGGAGCUCCUGCUGCAUGGUGGGGGUUGGAAAGUUUCGGCGGUUGGGGAUGGACUCGCGGCUUAUCAGCUUUUUGGUGGGGUAGUGGCUUACCAAGGCUUUGACGGGUAGCCGGCCUGAGAGGGUGACCGGCCACAUUGGGACUGAGAUACGGCCCAGACUCCGACGGGAGGCAGCAGUGGGGAAUAUUGCACAAUGGGCGGAAGCCUGAUGCAGCAACGCCGCGUGCGGGAUGACGGCCUUCGGGUUGUAAACCGCUUUCGCCUGUGACGAAGCGUGAGUGACGGUAAUGGGUAAAGAAGCACCGGCUAACUACGUG